ACGGGAGGCAGCAGUGAGGAAUAUUGGUCAAUGGGCGGAAGCCUGAACCAGCCAAGUCGCGUGAAGGAUGAAGGUAUUAUGUAUUGUAAACUUCUUUAGCUGUGGAGCAAUAAUCUCCAUGUAUGGAGAGAUGAGAGUACACAGAGAAUAAGGAUCGGCUAACUCCGUGCCAGCAGCCGCGGUAAUACGGAGGAUCCGAGCGUUAUCCGGAUUUAUUGGGUUUAAAGGGUGCGCAGGCGGCUUUCUAAGUCAGUGGUCAAAUCGUGGUGCUCAACGCCAUCCCGCCAUUGAUACUGGAGAGCUUGAUUGCGGUCGAGGUUUGCGGAAUUCGUCGUGUAGCGGUGAAAUGCAUAGAUAUGACGAAGAACACCGAUUGCGUAGGCAGCAGGCCAGGCCGUAAAUGACGCUCAUGCACGAAAGUGCGGGGAUCGAACAGGAUUAGAUACCCUGGUA
Molecule: ribosomal RNA, 453 nt
Filed under: uncultured Porphyromonadaceae bacterium
Lineage: Bacteria; Pseudomonadati; Bacteroidota; Bacteroidia; Bacteroidales; Porphyromonadaceae
Description: partial 16S ribosomal RNA
Rfam family: Bacterial small subunit ribosomal RNA
Source: RNAcentral